Long non-coding RNA from Zingiber officinale, 1569 nucleotides. RefSeq lists it as uncharacterized. NCBI's taxonomy places the organism in Eukaryota, Viridiplantae, Streptophyta, Magnoliopsida, Zingiberales, Zingiberaceae. The record is from RefSeq and is a predicted model, not a curated record. The transcript is spliced from 2 exons.
CUAUACGGAUAAAUAAAAGAAAAUAAAUAAAAAGUUUUAUAAGCAAAUGUAGUAGCUUCAAGAAUAGAAUAAAAUAAAAGUUGAAAUAUUUUUUAAAAAAAUCUCAUCUUAUUUUCAUUUUCUUUCUCCCGAGGGAAAGUGGAGAACACAAGCUAACACAUCAAAAAGAUAAUGAUCCUCUUUUGGGAUCUUUAUGACACAGCAAUCCUUUGUAUUACUGGGUUCGAAGAUCCGCGAUGUACUAUGAAUCAUGUGGUAAAAACUAAAAAGUGAUUCGCUCACCUUCAGCAUUUCCAUCAACUUGUCUUUAGGUCAGCAUGGAUGAGAUAAAUCACGAAUGACUACGAACCAUUAAUACAUAUGGCAAGACAUAGGAGGAGGUGAGAUCAGAUCCUCUAUCCUAAAAUUCUUGUGUCCCUGUAUCCCCUCGUCAAAUGGACGGACUAGAUCACAUCUCAAAGAUACAGUGCACAUCACGAGAAUAUCAUACCCGUCAGAUCAACAAAGAAACACAAGAAUCUUAAGACAGAGGAUAUAAUUUAAAGGAAAGGCAUGUUGAGAAUCCGCAUCUAUUACAGCAACACCAUAUAUAAAAAUCAAUUGUAUCACACUGAAAUCAAUCUAAAUGGCAAUUGAUUGAGCAACACCAUAUAUAAAAAUCAACUGUAUCACACUGAAAUCAAUCUAAAUGGCAAUUGAUUGAGGAUAUCUAUAACUAAUCAACAACUCCAUGACAUUAUUCAAUGCGAAGAGCUGUGGCCAGGCACAGGGACAGAGGAUCCCUCCCCAGUUCAUUAAUUAAUUCGUUGAUCGGUGGAGAUCCAGGAAGAGACCAGGUGGGGUAUAAGAGGGAGAUUAAAAAAAUGAACAGGAGAUGUCCAAGGGAGAAGAACCUUAACAUCGAACCACUUUUCUUUCUUCAACAAACAAAGAAACCCCACAACUUGCACGCCAAAUUGGCAAUGCCAUGCCACACUUGUCCUCAAAUAAUACUUCACACCCGCGGAAUGUGCAGUGCACUGCAUCCAUCCCAAUUAAUUAAUUAUAACACCCCUCUCAAAGCUCUUCUCUUUCUCUCUCUCUCCCUUCCUCCAACGGAUUCAAGCACAGGAAACUCAAAGACAGAUCUCAAAGUCAGACCUGUAAGUAACGAUCGAGUAUGAGUUCAGAGUGUCGAAUAGAAAAGAAUCAGAUUCGUUUGGAAGCUCAUUAGACAGUGUUAAUUAACUGAUCUGAUGGAAGGCAGAGAGAAGAGAAUGCAUCAUCCACUACGAGAGCCUCAUCAUGAGCACAGAGAGUCCUCUCCUUCCAACUAUUUCAGCGUGGAAACGUUUCUGGUUCUUGGCCUACUGACCUUGUCUCUCCUGGUCCUCCCUCUCAUACUGCCGCCGUUGCCACCGCCACCUUCGAUGCUACUGCUGCUUCCUCUAGGCAUACUUGUUGUGUUAAUGAUUUCGGCUUUCAUGCCCUCGGGCAGAAGAAAUAUGGCUUCGUCUCAUCUGUAAAUAUCGAUCGGAUCAUAGUGAUCGACUUUAAUUUGCACAAUAAAUAUUUUUUUUUGGCGAUAAA